Poeciliopsis prolifica (blackstripe livebearer) is the source of this 1533-nucleotide long non-coding RNA. RefSeq lists it as uncharacterized. The transcript has 4 exons. The record is from RefSeq and is a predicted model, not a curated record. Lineage: Eukaryota; Metazoa; Chordata; Actinopteri; Cyprinodontiformes; Poeciliidae.
CCGAAGCGAUGAAACAGAAGAGAGGCCAGCAGAGUGUCAGCUCCACCAUGAGCGUUCGUCUAACUUUGUUCUGCUGCUUCUUCCUCUUGACGGCUCCCAGGAGGCUUUUGAGCUCUACUACAGUGAGACGUACAGUGAGAGCUCGUCCAUCUCGCUGCAGGACUCCCAUCGCAGCCUGGCAUCAGCCAGUGACGGAGCAGACAGCGACCCCGCCCUGCUGCUGAUGCAGGAGUACAUGAUCACACUGAGGAACAAGCUGAAUCCUCUGGAGCUGCAGCAGUUUGCAGUCCUGCUGAGAGAAUACAGGCUGGGUUCAAACAUCGACCACUUCUGCUCUGAGCUGCUGCAGCUGUACGGAGAUGAGCGCAAAUUCCUGCUGCUGGAUGAGAGACCGAGACGGAGUUAUUGUUUUCUUUUAUUUGGAUCGGUUGCAGUUCGCUCUGUCUACUCUUCCUGAGGCAUGCGGCCGUUUAUUCCAGACAAAGACGUCGGCGUGUUCGAGGAGUUCCUUGAAAGCAUCGGGAUCCGAGAAGGCGGGAUUUUAACCGACAGCUUUGGACGUAUUAAACGCAGCAUGAGCAACACCUCAGCCACGGCCAUGAGAGGAUACGUGGAAACGGACGUGAAAAGUUUAUUUUCAAUAAUUCACUUCAUGAUUGAUUCAUCACACAAAAAGUGAUCUAUUUUAAGAGCUUAUUUCUGUCUAGUUUGAUGAUUAUAACAAAUGAAAACACAAAUUGUGGUUUCUCUAUAACAAAAAUUAUAAGAUGACAAAACAUUUUUAAUACUGAAACUGACCUAAACAACUUAGAGAAGACUGUUGUGUUGACAGUCAGUCAGAAUUAUAAGCUUCAACAAAACAUUGCUAAAACAGAGCUGUAUUCAAACUUAUUAUAAGAGAAAAUUCAGUGGAAAGAAAAAGUGUGACAUUUGACUUAAAUUCUGCUGGCCUGUUUUUUUUUUUUUUUGUUCAGAUCCUGCAUUUGAUUUGAUUUAGUUCUUCUAUCUAUACAAAAACCUGUCAGCAAGAUAACAGCCAUUCCUCUCUCAGUAGGUACGACAAACGCUCUUUAGCAACAGGGUCUCAAGAAUUUAACCGACGCAUCACUGACAUCACCCACGACAUCCAGGCGCUGGGCUUCCAGGACACGCACGGAGACAUCGAGGAGGAAGACUACUACCUCUGACGAAGGCAGAGAAGAAAAGACUUAGAGAGAGAUUUCCCAUAGUUCUGUGUUUUCAUUCACGGUAAAAAGGAACCAAAGUCAAAUUUUGUUUCUGCACAAACUUGAUGAAUAAAGCUGAUCUUGAUUCUAAGUUACAACAAUUCUGUGUUUAGAUCUGGAGGGAAUAUGUAAAUUAUUUUUAAGUAAAAGUGCUUCAUGAUGAACUAGAAAUCCUUUUGAGACAUGCAAGAGAAACUAAAUGAAUUCAGGAUGAAGUACAGUAAAAACAAGACAAAACACACUAUAGUUUUGGAUAGCAAUGCUAAAUAUUCCAUAAUCUACAUAGCUUUUUAAUUCCCUUCCUCUA